CAAGCCAAAUUAAGGUGAAACCGCGAAAGGCUCAUUAAAUCAGUUAUGGUUCSUUAGAUCGUACCCACAAUUACUUGGAUAACUGUGGUAAUUCUAGAGCUAAUACAUGCAAACAGAGCUCCGACCGGAGACGGAAGGAGUGCUUUUAUUAGAUCAAAACCAAUCGGUGGCGGGUUCGCGCUCGUCAUCGUACAACUUGGUGACUCUGAAUAACUUUACGCUGAUCGCACGGUCAUCGCACCGGCGACGCAUCUUUCAAAUGUCUGCCUUAUCAACUGUCGAUGGUAGGUUCUGCGCCUACCAUGGUUGUAACGGGUAACGGGGAAUCAGGGUUSGAUUCCGGAGAGGGAGCCUGAGAAACGGCUACCACAUCCAAGGAAGGCAGCAGGCGCGCAAAUUACCCACUCCCGGCACGGGGAGGUAGUGACGAAAAAUAACGAUACGGGACUCAUCCGAGGCCCCGUAAUCGGAAUGAGUACACUCUAAACCCUUUAACGAGGAUCAAUUGGAGGGCAAGUCUGGUGCCAGCAGCCG
Molecule: ribosomal RNA, 534 nt
Filed under: Trigonopterus allotopus
Lineage: Eukaryota; Metazoa; Arthropoda; Insecta; Coleoptera; Curculionidae
Description: SSU rRNA
Rfam family: Eukaryotic small subunit ribosomal RNA
Source: RNAcentral